CCUACGGGUGGCAGCAGUGGGGAAUAUUGCACAAUGGGCGCAAGCCUGAUGCAGCCAUGCCGCGUGUGUGAAGAAGGCCUUCGGGUUGUAAAGCACUUUCAGCGGGGAGGAAGGCGGUGAGGUUAAUAACCUCAUCGAUUGACGUUACCCGCAGAGGAAGCACCGGCUAACUCCGUGCCAGCAGCCGCGGUAAUACGGAGGGUGCAAGCGUUAAUCGGAAUUACUGGGCGUAAAGCGCACGCAGGCGGUCUGUCAAGUCGGAUGUGAAAUCCCCGGGCUCAACCUGGGAACUGCAUUCGAAACUGGCAGGCUAGAGUCUUGUAGAGGGGGGUAGAAUUCCAGGUGUAGCAGUGAAAUGCGUAGAGAUCUGGAGGAAUACCGGUGGCGAAGGUGGCCCCCUGGACAAAGACUGACGCUCAGGUGCGAAAGCGUGGGGAGCAAACAGGAUUAGAUACCCGUGUAGUC
Molecule: ribosomal RNA, 465 nt
Filed under: uncultured Klebsiella sp.
Lineage: Bacteria; Pseudomonadati; Pseudomonadota; Gammaproteobacteria; Enterobacterales; Enterobacteriaceae
Description: bacterial SSU rRNA
Rfam family: Bacterial small subunit ribosomal RNA
Source: RNAcentral